UUUAUAUUCCCUCUGUCCUAAAUUUUUUGUCUUAGAUUCGUCUAGAUACGGAUGUAUCAAAUCGACUUGAUACAUCUGUAUUUAGACAAAUUUAAGACAAGAAUUUUGACACGGAAGGAGUAUAAU
Molecule: non-coding RNA, 126 nt
Organism: Triticum aestivum (bread wheat)
Lineage: Eukaryota; Viridiplantae; Streptophyta; Magnoliopsida; Poales; Poaceae
Source: Rfam